This 262-nucleotide ribosomal RNA is filed under the name uncultured bacterium. Its description in RNAcentral is "partial 16S ribosomal RNA". It matches the Rfam family "Bacterial small subunit ribosomal RNA", at positions 793 to 1055 of the family's 1533-position model. The record is from RNAcentral.
GUCCAUGCCGUAAACGUUGGGCACUAGGUGUGGGGACAUUCCACGUUUUCCGCGCCGUAGCUAACGCAUUAAGUGCCCCGCCUGGGGAGUACGGCCGCAAGGCUAAAACUCAAAGGAAUUGACGGGGCCCGCACAAGCGGCGGAGCAUGCGGAUUAAUUCGAUGCAACGCGAAGAACCUUACCAAGGCUUGACAUACACCGGAUCGUUCCAGAGAUGGUUCUUCCCUUUUGGGCUGGUGUACAGGUGGUGCAUGGUUGUCGU